Molecule: long non-coding RNA, 274 nt
Filed under: Homo sapiens (human)
Lineage: Eukaryota; Metazoa; Chordata; Mammalia; Primates; Hominidae
Description: novel transcript, overlapping NUCB1
Source: RNAcentral
CAAGACUCCAUCUCAAGAAAAAAAAAAAAAUUAGCUGGGUGUGGUGGCACAUGCCUGUAGUCCCAGCUACUUGGGAGGCUGAGGUGAAAGGAUCGCUUGGGCCUGGGAAGCGGUGAUUGCAACGCUGCACAUCAGCCUGGGUGACCAAGCGGGACUCUGUCUCAGAACAAAACAAAACAAAAAUACAUAUUCCCAGAUCCUGGAAUGUCCUGGGAAGCUAUAUGUGUGUCAUGCCCUCCCAGCUGCACCUGAACAAUGAGCAUAGCAAACAUCA